This 1246-nucleotide long non-coding RNA is filed under the name Takifugu rubripes (torafugu). Its description in RNAcentral is "lncRNA (ENSTRUG00000029531.1)". Lineage: Eukaryota; Metazoa; Chordata; Actinopteri; Tetraodontiformes; Tetraodontidae. The record is from RNAcentral.
AGCCUCCAGGUUAGUUGUAGCUAACAGUUAGCACAGCUACGCAGAACAAAACCCACCUUAAAGGUUAGCCUGAGGAGGCUAGCUAGGCUAGUGUUCUGUGGAUCCACCUGGAAGUGCAAUAAUCCUUCUGAAGCAACGAAGCUCAGUGGAAACUCUCAUUUUUACUGGUGACCAGUGGAACCUUUGCUCUCCACGCUGCCACGGCUCUUUAAUUAAAAUUAGCAGCGCCGCAGGUUCUCCUGCAGCUCGGCUCCACCACCCAGGAACCCUCUCCUACCUUUCUCACCGAUGGGCUAAUUAAAUCUUGCCACACUUUAAUUCCUGAGAUGUUUGUUGGAAUCACAUCACUGGGAAUGUCAACGCUCCACAUGUGUCCUUGUUCAGGACCUCGCGUGCGAUCGUGCGCUGCCUUUAUCAGAUUUGUGCUCCCGCCAUCGACAGAGAGGAAAAAAACAUCCAUUCCAGAUGCUUUCACACAGUCACGCACUGAAAUAAUGGAAUGAAAUCAGCCUCAAAGCUGACCACUUCACUCCCUCAGGGCAGCAGGUCAAAGGUCGACCAGGUGUGACCAAGGUUUAAACUGUAGCAUCAAAGCUCAAAAGAUCCAAAAACAGAUUUACUACCUUUGCGAACAUCUCCUCGUCGUUAAUUGUUCGCAACUGAAAUAUUCACAAUUUCAACCUUUGCUCUUUCACACAACAGGUCCUUUGGAGGAGCUUAAGUUCUGAAGGUUCUUCAAGGUUCCUGAAGGUUCUUCAAGGUUCCUGAAGGUUAAAGUUGCUGCAGUUUAGCUGAAAAGCUAAAAAGUUGGAUUUACACGACCUGGAUGGAUGAGAACCAGCAUGGUCAAAAAGGUUCUUUCUGCUGAGGGUUCUGUCCUCAGAAGCAUCCAGCAGCAGGAGAAAGGAGACUUCCGUUGCACCGACGUUCCCAGAAGCCUCCUACAAACAGCUCCAGUUUUAGAUUUACUGUAUACAUUAAUUUUACUGCUAAUGACAAUUUUAGCCUGAACACGAUCAGAUCCAGCAUUUGCUUACUGAUAAAGUUUAAAUUCAAAUUGAGUUAUUUAGUUAGUGGGUGAAAUUUCGAAGGGGUGGAGCUUUGUUAGAACAAAAAUAAAAAACACAACCUUGAAUCAAAGGUUGUAAAUAAACAACAACAUGCUUCAAAACAGCGUUUCGUUGUUGCUGAAAAUGGCCUUUUACUGUCACCCGCGAUGCGUUUAUGGUCAUCCGGUAAACAGUAG